UAAGUGGGAAACGAUGUGGGAAGGCUCAGACAGCUAGGAGGUUGGCUUAGAAGCAGCCAUCCUUUAAAGAAAGCGUAAUAGCUCACUAGUCGAGUCGGCCUGCGCGGAAGAUAUAACGGGGCUAAAUCAGGUACCGAAGCUACGGGUUCAUCCUUAUGGAUGAGCGGUAGAGGAGCGUCGUGUAAGCCAAUGAAGGUGGAUUGAGAAGUCUGCUGGAGGUAUCACGAGUGCGAAUGCUGACAUGAGUAACGAUAAGGGGAGUGAAAAACUCCCCCGCCGGAAGACCAAGGUUUUCUGUUCUACGUUAAUCGGAGCAGAGUGAGUCGGCCCCUAAGGCGAGGCGGAAACGCGUAGUCGAUGGGAAACGGGUUAAUAUUCCCGUACCGGAUGUGGUUGCGAUGGGGGGACGAAGAAGGCUAGGUGAGCCAGGCGUUGGUUGUCCUGGUGAAAGCAUGUAGGCCGAGGAAUCAGGCAAAUCCGGUUCCUCUGAGGUCGAGAUGCGAGACGAACUGACCACGGUCAGGAAGUCAUCGAUGCCACGCUUCCAGGAAAAGCCUCUAAGCUUCAGAUCACAUGCGACCGUACCCCAAACCGACACAGGUGGUCAGGUAGAGAAUACCAAGGCGCUUGAGAGAACUCGGGUGAAGGAACUAGGCAAAAUGGCACCGUAACUUCGGGAGAAGGUGCACCGGUUCGAGUGAAGGACUUGCUCCGUAAGCUCUUACCGGUCGAAGAUACCAGGUGGCUGCAACUGUUUAUUAAAAACACAGCACUCUGCAAACACGAAAGUGGACGUAUAGGGUGUGACGCCUGCCCGGUGCUGGAAGAUUAAAUGAUGGGGUGCAAGCUCUUGAUUGAAGUCCCAGUAAACGGCGGCCGUAACAAUAACGGUCCUAAGGUAGCGAAAUUCCUUGUCGGG
Molecule: ribosomal RNA, 919 nt
Filed under: Prymnesium parvum
Lineage: Eukaryota; Haptophyta; Prymnesiales; Prymnesiaceae
Description: partial Bacterial large subunit ribosomal RNA
Rfam family: Bacterial large subunit ribosomal RNA
Source: RNAcentral